AAAAAAUUAGUUAAAUAGUAUAACAUUAGUUUGUCAAACUAAAAUUAUCAAUCUACUGAUAUUUUUUA
RNAcentral lists this transfer RNA (68 nucleotides) under Chrysomya albiceps (hairy maggot blowfly). Its description in RNAcentral is "tRNA-Asp". It matches the Rfam family "tRNA". Rfam says of the family: Transfer RNA (tRNA) molecules are approximately 80 nucleotides in length. Their secondary structure includes four short double-helical elements and three loops (D, anti-codon, and T loops). Further hydrogen bonds mediate the characteristic L-shaped molecular structure. tRNAs have two regions of fundamental functional importance: the anti-codon, which is responsible for specific mRNA codon recognition, and the 3' end, to which the tRNAs corresponding amino acid is attached (by aminoacyl-tRNA synthetases). tRNAs cope with the degeneracy of the genetic code in two manners: having more than one tRNA (with a specific anti-codon) for a particular amino acid; and 'wobble' base-pairing, i.e. permitting non-standard base-pairing at the 3rd anti-codon position. The record is from RNAcentral. Lineage: Eukaryota; Metazoa; Arthropoda; Insecta; Diptera; Calliphoridae.